ACACUUACCUGGACGGGGUCAAUGGGUGAUCCAUAUAUAAGGUCCAUGUCCUAGGAUGGUAGCCUCCAUUGCACACGAAGGAGGGGUGCCUGCCUAAGGUCUUCCCUAGUGGAAGAGCCUACGUCAUUAUUUGUUGCACUGGGGGUUGCGCAAGCGUUGCCCCUG
Quercus robur (English oak) is the source of this 165-nucleotide small nuclear RNA. RefSeq annotates it as U1 spliceosomal RNA. The record is from RefSeq and is a predicted model, not a curated record. NCBI's taxonomy places the organism in Eukaryota, Viridiplantae, Streptophyta, Magnoliopsida, Fagales, Fagaceae. The transcript has a single exon.